UACGAAGGGGCGUAGCGUUGUUCGGAGUUUACUUGGGCGGUAAAGACGCGUGUAGGCGGUCGUUAAGUUGGGGUGAAUCCCGAGGCUCAACCUCGGAACUGCCUUCAAAACUGGCGACCUGGACUCAAGCAGAGGCAAGCGGAAUUGCGAGUGUAGAGGUGAAAUUCGUAGAUAUUCGCAGGAACACCAGUGGCGAAGGCGAC
RNAcentral lists this ribosomal RNA (203 nucleotides) under uncultured bacterium. RNAcentral's name for it is "partial 16S ribosomal RNA". It matches the Rfam family "Bacterial small subunit ribosomal RNA", at positions 524 to 725 of the family's 1533-position model. The record is from RNAcentral.